Herpailurus yagouaroundi (jaguarundi) is the source of this 1839-nucleotide long non-coding RNA. RefSeq lists it as uncharacterized. The record is from RefSeq and is a predicted model, not a curated record. The transcript is spliced from 3 exons. Lineage: Eukaryota; Metazoa; Chordata; Mammalia; Carnivora; Felidae.
UUGAACUUAAGCCCUGAAACCAUAAAACUCAGAAGAAAGCACAGGCAGUAAGCUCCUUGACUUGGAUCAUGGUGAUGGUAUUUUUAAUCUGAUACCAAACCCAGCUUCCCUGCUUUGUGGUAGGCCACACAUAGGCUUCAUCAACUAAUAAAGAAUUUCUAUCCUAUCAAUUAAAUUACUAGGAGAAAUAAAAAGCAGGCAUUCUUCCAUUUUUCAUAAUUUCUUACAAUGGUCUAAACCUUCACCAAAAGGAAAGGUCACCUUACCAUAGAGGUAGCUGCCACUUUAAUUAAAUUUAAUAAAUAAAAAUUGGUGGUCACAUUGCUUGCUUAGUCUCUUUAUUCAAGACUGCCAAAGAGUACCUCCUAGAAAAAGCCUUCCCUGACCAUCCCAUCUCAAAGAGCACCCUCUCUCUCCCAGACUCUGUCCCAUGCUCUGCUUUAUGUAUCUUUUUUAGCACUCACCACUGUCAUAAUAAUUUUUAAAUUUUCUUUCUUUCGCAGUAAAACAAACUCUAUGAAGGCAAGAUUGAUUCUUUUGGUCUUAUUCAACAGCAAUAGAACAAUGCUAGUGCUUCUAACAACACAAUAAUGGAUGUUCAGUAUAUCUUUGUUGAAUGAUUGGGAGAUUCAUUUAUUCUACUUAUUCAAAAUAGUCAAUUAUUUACUGUCAUAGCUCUACUAAUCCUUUAAUUGUUUGCAAAUUAUUGACAACUAGAUAAAAAAAGCUACAAGAUGAGAUACAUAGGAGCAACUACCAAUUCAUGAUUGAUCUGAAAUGAAAGUAAAGCAUCCUAAAUGUGUAUGCGUAUCAAUGGGAAAAUUAGAUUUGAUUUAUAGAAAUAUAAUUUGCAGGGAUGAUUUUGUGCAUUUUUAAUAUGUAAGUCAAGGCACUGAUGGUAUUUUCUUAUGCUUUGGUAAACUGAGUCUGGGCCCUCUUCCAGUGGACAUGGACAACUUCCAAACCCAGAGGUACAUUCUGAACCCAUGGUCAACACUCUGAAGUCCAGCAGUAAACAGUCUGAGAGAGCAAACGUCUCCAACAGUGGUGAAGCCCCUGUGGAAAGUGCCUUUAGAACAGCAGAGACCACUAAAGGGCUCCCCGGUUAAAGCAAAGGGCAACCAGAACACUCCAACGUGGACUCCACCUGCAAAGCUGUUCAAGUGGUACCCGGAAAGGGUGCUCCAAUAGGCUGCUAUAAGACCCAGAGGAGGACACUGAGACCCUAGAUGAUGACAGAGUGACUACAUGGACAGAGUCUUAAUCUUGAAUGAUUUCAUGAAGCACUCUCCUUUUAACCAUCUCAUAAAUUGCACUGGACUUGAGCAAUGAAUAAAUGAAUAAAUAAUUAAAUAAAUCUCACUGAGAUUUGGGGACUGUUUAUUCCAGCAGUUAACCCACUCUAAUACCUUGAUCAUGCUGAUCCCCUAUUCCAGCCUGGCAAAAGAAUCUUCACUCUUGAUUUUAUUGCCAGUCUUGAUAAGGGUCUCUUUCAAUUACCUGAUUUUAUUGUCUAUGUGGUCAAGCAUCCAUGCUUCCAUUUCUCCUCAGCUCAGUAACAUUCCCAUAUGGAUCUCUCUUUUUCUUGUUUUCUGAGUCUAUAUGAAAAUGGUGUUAGUUCUGAGCCCUUGACUUUUAUGCUGUAGGAUCAUAGUGUGUGAGUCCUGCUCUAAGGGAAAAGUACCUGUCACUGUGAAAGAUUUACUUUGAACUAUCUAUAACUAUAAAAUCAAUGAAUAGAUUAAUUCAGGCUAUAGUUAGGGAGAAAAAAAAAUGUGGGUUUUAAGUGAUAAAUUUGAUUAAUGUAUGGAAACUCAGUAAAAAGAAUUUGAUAAAGAC